Molecule: ribosomal RNA, 326 nt
Filed under: Providencia rettgeri
Lineage: Bacteria; Pseudomonadati; Pseudomonadota; Gammaproteobacteria; Enterobacterales; Morganellaceae
Description: bacterial SSU rRNA
Rfam family: Bacterial small subunit ribosomal RNA
Source: RNAcentral
AUGUGUAUAAGAGACCGCUACAAUGGCGUAUACAAAGAGAAGCGACCUCGCGAGAGCAAGCGGAACUCAUAAAGUACGUCGUAGUCCGGAUUGGAGUCUGCAACUCGACUCCAUGAAGUCGGAAUCGCUAGUAAUCGUAGAUCAGAAUGCUACGGUGAAUACGUUCCCGGGCCUUGUACACACCGCCCGUCACACCAUGGGAGUGGGUUGCAAAAGAAGUAGGUAGCUUAACCUUCGGGAGGGCGCUUACCACUUUGUGAUUCAUGACUGGGGUGAAGUCGUAACAAGGUAACCGUAGGGGAACCUGCGGUUGGAUCACCUCCUUA